This is a long non-coding RNA of Suricata suricatta (meerkat), 364 nucleotides long. RefSeq lists it as uncharacterized. The record is from RefSeq and is a predicted model, not a curated record. The transcript has 3 exons. Lineage: Eukaryota; Metazoa; Chordata; Mammalia; Carnivora; Herpestidae.
AGCCUUAUCUGCCGCCCUAGAGCCUUUUCCCUAUAACAGUGAAAUCAACAAUGACUUGUGUCAGGAGAGAUCUUUAAUUUAGUAUUACAAGAUAUUCUAAUGUUUAAAGAGCAAUCCAACAUAAAUGAAGAGAGCCGGGAUAACCUUUUUAUACUCGGGAAGGUAACUGUCAUGCAUUGUUUUUCCAGAUGAGAGGUACACUCUGCUCCAAGCCAUCACCUGUUCUACAAACUCCAGAAAGUCUUUCAUUUCUCCUAUAACUGUUGUGCCCCUGGUAUGUGUGAUGUGCUUAACAGGCACUUUCUGCUGUGGCCUUCCAGACUCUGCAGGUGGUGGGACUCUGCGGGGAGUGGGUAGGAGAACA